RNAcentral lists this ribosomal RNA (1557 nucleotides) under Triticum aestivum (bread wheat). Its description in RNAcentral is "partial small subunit ribosomal RNA". Lineage: Eukaryota; Viridiplantae; Streptophyta; Magnoliopsida; Poales; Poaceae. The record is from RNAcentral.
AUGGCGCCGCCGAAGCCGAGCUCUCCUCCCAACCCCAACCCCAACGCCAGCCCCAACUCCUCCUCCGACGCCGACAAGGCCAGGGGCAAGACGAAGGUGACGCCCCUGCAGGUCGCCUUCCUCGUCGAGCGCUACCUCGCCGACAAUGGCUUCUCGGCCUCCCUCGCCGCCUUCCGCUCCGACGCCUCCCACCUCUUCGCCAAGACCAGCAACAACAUAGUCCCUCCCAAGGGCCUCCUCCCUCUCGCCGACAUCCUCCACGACUACAUCUCCCUCAAGGAGUCACGCCUCGCCGUCGACUCCGCCAUGCAGGCCAUGCAGACCCUCGUCUCCACCUACUACCAUUCCGGCUCAUCCGCUCAUCUCGCGGCGCCGCCCUCCUCGCCGCCGCUCGUCCCGCCCUUCUUCGUCGGCCCCACCACCUCUUCUCCCCCGCACCCACCCAUGGUGGCCAUUCCCCCGCCUCCUACAGGCUCCUCUGGAUAUGCUACGCCUAUGAUACACUACACACAGUCAUCCUCCUCGCUUGUUGUUCAGAAUUCUUCAAAUGCCAACAACAUGUCCACCCCAGCAGCCAGUUCUUUGCCUACAAAAAAAAGAAAGGCAGCCAAGCCUGCUGCAAAAACUACUUCAGCCUCCAAGAGAAUAUGUGCUGGACCGUCCACAAGCUUGAACCCAAAAAGUACAAGUGCAGCCUCUCAACUGCAAACUGCACAGCCAAGUUCAGCUGAACAUUCAGUGGUUGCAAAACUGCCGGCCCAAGCCUCAUCCGUUGCAAAAAGCUUAUUCACCCCACUCCAGUCUCAAGUCAGUUCUCCUUGUACAGCUCAACUAAGCUAUCCCAUGGGAAAUGAACUUGCUUCUUGUCAAUCACAAAGGCCAUCAUCUGUGGUUCCAAAUGCUCAUGCCCAACAGGAGAUUGCUUCCUCUCAAUACUCUAUAGUUUCUUCCAAGAGACUAAUAGUCAGUCCUAUGAAAGGGGGCACCUAUUAUUCUGUCGAGAGGAGUUGCCAUGUCAGCUCCCCCUUAAAAUCAAGCACCCAGAGAUCUUCAAAAAGGGAACAUGUGAAAGGGAGGUUAGAUUUUGACAGUUCAGAUGCAAGGCCAGUUCCAGCUGAACAUGUUUCUGACAAGCCCUCUAGCUCUACCUAUAAUGGAGAGAAGCAAGAUGACUUUGACAUUGAUUUCACAAACUUUGAUCUCUUUGAAGGCGACUUCUCAUUUUCGGAACUAUUGCUUGACUUUGAUCUUGACAAUGAAGGCCUUCAAUGUGAGAAUCCUUCCACAAAUGCUGAAGUUCAAAGACUACAGCCCACUGUGAAGAGUAACAACAUGACUGCUGAUCCAGCUUUUCCAGAUCCAAUGAAGCCAAUGUCAGCAGAUCCCACUGAAGACAUCAAUUCACAAGGAGCUACAUCUGUUACUUCUGUCAGAGCUAUUACUAAGAGGAUAAAGAUUGUUAGCCCUGGUAUGCCUAUAACCUCUACCUAUCAUGCUUCUCAUGUACAACAGGUUUUAAAGUUAUCUAAUAUGCUAGCUGUAUUUGUUUGCAGUUAA